AAGUCGUAACAAGGUUUCCGUAGGUGAACCUGCGGAAGGAUCAUUACCAAUAUUCAAAAUAUCCAAACCCAUGUGCACGAUGGAAUUGUCUUGGUUUUUGGGGUGGGCUUGCCCAAGUUCACUCCAGCCAUAUUUUGCAAAACUACUUUUCAAUUGUCAUGGAAUUAUUACUUGUCUUAAUAAAAUAUAAUGACAACUUUUAACGGUGGAUCUCUUGGCUCGUGGAUCG
This 229-nucleotide unclassified non-coding RNA is filed under the name fungal sp. Its description in RNAcentral is "partial internal transcribed spacer region". The stretch from base 1 to 46 matches the Rfam family "Eukaryotic small subunit ribosomal RNA", at positions 1786 to 1831 of the family's 1831-position model. The record is from RNAcentral. Lineage: Eukaryota; Fungi.